CACGUAGGGCGCAAGCGUUGUCCGGAAUUAUUGGGCGUAAAGAGCUCGUAGGCGGUCUGUUGCGUCCGCUGUGAAAACUCGGGGCUUAACCCCGAGCCUGCAGUGGAUACGGGCAGACUAGAGGUAGGUAGGGGAGAAUGGAAUUCCCGGUGUAGCGGUGAAAUGCGCAGAUAUCGGGAGGAACACCGGUGGCGAAGGCGGCAUCCUGGACCAACACUGACGCUGAGGCACGAAGGCCAGGGGAGCAAACGGG
Molecule: ribosomal RNA, 253 nt
Filed under: uncultured bacterium
Lineage: Bacteria
Description: partial 16S ribosomal RNA
Rfam family: Bacterial small subunit ribosomal RNA
Source: RNAcentral